Molecule: non-coding RNA, 82 nt
Organism: Zea mays
Lineage: Eukaryota; Viridiplantae; Streptophyta; Magnoliopsida; Poales; Poaceae
Source: Rfam
CCAUCUGAAGUGAGGAUUAGAGGCAACUGAACCAUCAUCUAUUGCAAAGGUUCAGUUUCCUCUAAUAUCUCAUCUCGAAUGG